GGGCCCGCACAAGCGGUGGAGCAUGUGGUUUAAUUCGAUGCAACGCGAAAAACCUUACCUACCCUUGACAUCAUCAGAACUUGUUAGAGAUAACUCGGUGCCUUCGGGAACUGAUUGACAGGUGCUGCAUGGCUGUCGUCAGCUCGUGUCGUGAGAUGUUGGGUUAAGUCCCGUAACGAGCGCAACCCUUAUCCUUAGUUGCCAGCACGUAAUGGUGGGGACUCUAAGGAGACUGCCGGUGCUAAGCCGGAGGAAGGCGGGGACGACGUCAAGUCAUCAUGGCCCUUACGGGUAGGGCUACACACGUGCUACAAUGGCCGGUACAGAGGGUUGCCAAGCCGCGAGGUGGAGCUAAUCUCAGAAAGCCGGUCAUAGUCCGGAUCGGAGUCUGCAACUCGACUCCGUGAAGUUGGAAUCGCUAGUAA
Molecule: ribosomal RNA, 425 nt
Filed under: uncultured bacterium
Lineage: Bacteria
Description: bacterial SSU rRNA
Rfam family: Bacterial small subunit ribosomal RNA
Source: RNAcentral